GUUGGGUGUGGUGUUGCAUGCCUGUAGUUUUAGCUAUUCCAGAGGCUGAGGAGGGAGGAUCACUUGAGCCCAGGAGUUCAAGGCUGCAGUGAGCUGAUUGCACCACUGCACUCCAGCCUGGGCAACAGAGUGAGACCCUGUCUCUU
Pongo abelii (Sumatran orangutan) is the source of this 146-nucleotide unclassified non-coding RNA. It matches the Rfam family "Metazoan signal recognition particle RNA". Rfam says of the family: The signal recognition particle (SRP) is a universally conserved ribonucleoprotein. It is involved in the co-translational targeting of proteins to membranes. The eukaryotic SRP consists of a 300-nucleotide 7S RNA and six proteins: SRPs 72, 68, 54, 19, 14, and 9. The record is from Ensembl. Lineage: Eukaryota; Metazoa; Chordata; Mammalia; Primates; Hominidae.